RNAcentral lists this non-coding RNA (94 nucleotides) under Faecalibaculum rodentium. RNAcentral describes it as "THF-I sequence". It matches the Rfam family "THF (Tetrahydrofolate) riboswitch aptamer". Rfam says of the family: THF riboswitch presents a pseudoknot that joins P1-P2 and the loop of P3 and two THF binding. The record is from Rfam by way of RNAcentral. Lineage: Bacteria; Bacillati; Bacillota; Erysipelotrichia; Erysipelotrichales; Erysipelotrichaceae.
GGCAGAGUAAGGAUACAGGCGUAAAGUGUUUCGGGCACGGGGAGUUGGUCCGAAAACGAAGCAAGCCGCGAUCUGUAUCCUGCAUCCCGCUGUC